This 1371-nucleotide ribosomal RNA is filed under the name uncultured bacterium. RNAcentral's name for it is "bacterial SSU rRNA". It matches the Rfam family "Bacterial small subunit ribosomal RNA", at positions 28 to 1381 of the family's 1533-position model. The record is from RNAcentral.
GAUGAACGCUGGCGGCGUGCCUAAUACAUGCAAGUCGAGCGAACGGACGAGAAGCUUGCUUCUCUGAUGUUAGCGGCGGACGGGUGAGUAACACGUGGAUAACCUACCUAUAAGACUGGGAUAACUUCGGGAAACCGGAGCUAAUACCGGAUAAUAUUUUGAACCGCAUGGUUCAAAAGUGAAAGACGGUCUUGCUGUCACUUAUAGAUGGAUCCGCGCUGCAUUAGCUAGUUGGUAAGGUAACGGCUUACCAAGGCAACGAUGCAUAGCCGACCUGAGAGGGUGAUCGGCCACACUGGAACUGAGACACGGUCCAGACUCCUACGGGAGGCAGCAGUAGGGAAUCUUCCGCAAUGGGCGAAAGCCUGACGGAGCAACGCCGCGUGAGUGAUGAAGGUCUUCGGAUCGUAAAACUCUGUUAUUAGGGAAGAACAUAUGUGUAAGUAACUGUGCACAUCUUGACGGUACCUAAUCAGAAAGCCACGGCUAACUACGUGCCAGCAGCCGCGGUAAUACGUAGGUGGCAAGCGUUAUCCGGGAAUAUUGGGUGUAAAGCGCGCGUAGGCGGUUUUUUAGUCUGAUGUGAAAGCCCACGGCUCAACCGUGGAGGGUCAUUGGAAACUGGAAAACUUGAGUGCAGAAGAGGAAAGUGGAAUUCCAUGUGUAGCGGUGAAAUGCGCAGAGAUAUGGAGGAACACCAGUGGCGAAGGCGACUUUCUGGUCUGUAACUGACGCUGAUGUGCGAAAGCGUGGGGAUCAAACAGGAUUAGAUACCCUGGUAGUCCACGCCGUAAACGAUGAGUGCUAAGUGUUAGGGGGUUUCCGCCCCUUAGUGCUGCAGCUAACGCAUUAAGCACUCCGCCUGGGGAGUACGACCGCAAGGUUGAAACUCAAAGGAAUUGACGGGGACCCGCACAAGCGGUGGAGCAUGUGGUUUAAUUCGAAGCAACGCGAAGAACCUUACCAAAUCUUGACAUCCUUUGACAACUCUAGAGAUAGAGCUUUCCCCUUCGGGGGACAAAGUGACAGGUGGUGCAUGGUUGUCGUCAGCUCGUGUCGUGAGAUGUUGGGUUAAGUCCCGCAACGAGCGCAACCCUUAAGCUUAGUUGCCAUCAUUAAGUUGGGCACUCUAAGUUGACUGCCGGUGACAAACCGGAGGAAGGUGGGGAUGACGUCAAAUCAUCAUGCCCCUUAUGAUUUGGGCUACACACGUGCUACAAUGGACAAUACAAAGGGCAGCGAAACCGUGAGGUCAAGCAAAUCCCAUAAAGUUGUUCUCAGUUCGGAUUGUAGUCUGCAACUCGACUACAUGAAGCUGGAAUCGCUAGUAAUCGUAGAUCAGCAUGCUACGGUGAAUACGUUCCCGGGUCU